UUUUUGGAAAAUAAAAGCAUGUAGCAAUAGGUUAUCUUGGCAUACAGUAGAAGAUUUUCUAUAACUUUUGUUACCUAUGCCAAUUAAAUGGUACAACUGUAAGAAACAGAACAGUGGAGGAAUGUGAAUGGGGUAGAAAGAGAGCCCACCAGAUGGAAUUUGACUCAAACAAAAAAGGGUGCCACACUGACAGCCCUGGAGUCUAAAGUCUUCUAUUUAUCCAAAGAAAGGAACAGCACGGGUACCGAAAGCACAGGCUUCCUUACAUUGCCUCUCCAAACAUGCCUUAUUUUUGACCUCGAGCAGCGACCACCGAAAGGAAGACUGGAUGCUGUGCUCACUGAGAACUCAGCCUUCCUGCCAACAAGUACACAAUUGAGA
Long non-coding RNA from Mauremys mutica (yellowpond turtle), 381 nucleotides. RefSeq lists it as uncharacterized. The transcript is spliced from 3 exons. The record is from RefSeq and is a predicted model, not a curated record. Lineage: Eukaryota; Metazoa; Chordata; Testudines; Geoemydidae.